UAAUACGUAGGGAGCAAGCGUUGUCCGGAAUCAUUGGGCGUAAAGCGCGCGUAGGUGGCUCUAUAAGUCCGUUGUGAAAGUCAAAGGCUCAACCUUUGAAAGCCGAUGGAUACUGUAGAGCUAGAGUCCGGAAGAGGCGAGUGGAAUUCCUGGUGUAGCGGUGGAAUGCGCAGAUAUCAGGAGGAACACCAAUAGCGAAGGCAGCUCGCUGGGACGUGACUGACACUAAGGCGCGAAAGCGUGGGGAGCGAACAGGAUUAGAUACCCUGGUAGUCCACGCCGUAAACGAU
RNAcentral lists this ribosomal RNA (290 nucleotides) under uncultured bacterium. Its description in RNAcentral is "partial 16S ribosomal RNA". It matches the Rfam family "Bacterial small subunit ribosomal RNA", at positions 521 to 810 of the family's 1533-position model. The record is from RNAcentral.